CAGAAAUCUACCUCUCCGAAACCUGUUUCUUCUAAUUAUUCCCUCUGGGACCAAGCUGAAGAAGCCCAAUUCCUCCAGUUUUCAUAUAAAAAACCUUCAAUAUUUGAAGACAGUGAACAUGUUCCCUGUAAACUCUUUUCUUCUCUGGUUUAAACAUUACCAGUUCUUCAACUGAUCAGGUCACCUCCAGCUUGUCAAAGCUCUUCCUACUAGAUAGCUCCUCAAACUGGACUCAGUUCUUCCUCUGUGAUCUGACAAGGCUGGAGGACGACAGACCCAUUACCUCCUUUAUCCUUAAUGUCUAGAUGUCUACUGGAGAAGGAAGACGAAGAAUCAUUGGUCCUGGCUAGCAUACAGCAGAAGUCAUAGCAAUCAAUUAAGAGACCCAUUAAUGUUACACUACAAGCAAAAAUAACUAGAUAAGUAGAGCUGGCAGCUGGUCACGUCACAUGCCUUGAGAGGAUCAAACCACUCUCACAUAUCUUAAUUACUGCCCUGCCUCAGUACCUAGAUUUUCCACCAUGGUGAGAGGUAGCUAAGAACAAUGGGAUCAGUGGACUUAAAAACAAAAGACACAGAUGUGAUUGAGUCCUGGCUCAGAUGCACAAUCUAUGUAACUUAAUAUCUUUCCAAGGCACAGAU
Phascolarctos cinereus (koala) is the source of this 642-nucleotide long non-coding RNA. RefSeq lists it as uncharacterized. Lineage: Eukaryota; Metazoa; Chordata; Mammalia; Diprotodontia; Phascolarctidae. The record is from RefSeq and is a predicted model, not a curated record.